GGAGGAGGCAAGCGUUGUCCGGAAUUAUUGGGGCGUAAAGAGCGCGUAGGCUGUUUUUCAAGUCAUAUGUGAAAACCUCAGGGCUUAACUUGAGGACUGCAUAUGAAACUGGAAAACUUGAGUGCAGUAGGGGAAAGUGGAAUUCCUGGUGUAGCGGUGAAAUGCGCAGAUAUCAGGAAGAACACCGGUAGCGAAGGCGGCUUUCUGGGCUGCUACUGACGCUGAGGCGCGAAAGCUAGGGGAGCAAACAGGAUUAGAUACCCUGGUAGUCCUAGCUGUAAACGAUGGACACUAGGUGUGGGAAGUUAUCGACGCUUUCCGUGCCGGAGCUAACGCAUUAAGUGUCCCGCCUGGGGAGUACGGCCGCAAGGCUA
RNAcentral lists this ribosomal RNA (374 nucleotides) under uncultured organism. Its description in RNAcentral is "partial 16S ribosomal RNA". It matches the Rfam family "Bacterial small subunit ribosomal RNA", at positions 527 to 896 of the family's 1533-position model. The record is from RNAcentral.